This 427-nucleotide ribosomal RNA is filed under the name uncultured bacterium. Its description in RNAcentral is "partial 16S ribosomal RNA". It matches the Rfam family "Bacterial small subunit ribosomal RNA", at positions 355 to 774 of the family's 1533-position model. The record is from RNAcentral.
UGGGGAAUAUUGGACAAUGGGCGAAAGCCUGAUCCAGCCAUGCCGCGUGUGUGAAGAAGGUCUUCGGAUUGUAAAGCACUUUGAGUUGGGAGGAAGGGCAUUAACCUAAUACGUUAGUGUUUUGACGUUACCGACAGAAUAAGCACCGGCUAACUCUGUGCCAGCAGCCGCGGUAAUACAGAGGGUGCAAGCGUUAAUCGGAAUUACUGGGCGUAAAGCGCGCGUAGGGUGUUUGUUAAGUUGGAUGUGAAAUCCCCGGGCUCAACCUGGGAACUGCAUUCAAAACUGACUGACUAGAGUAUGGUAGAGGGUGGUGGAAUUUCCUGUGUAGCGGUGAAAUGCGUAGAUAUAGGAAGGAACACCAGUGGCGAAGGCGACCACCUGGACUAAUACUGACACUGAGGUGCGAAAGCGUGGGGAGCAAACA